UCAUUUCGCCCGUCCCCUUGCAAGCCAUCGUCCGCCAUGGGGCCGCCACUCGUAGGGCCGGCGCUUGCGCCGCGCCGUCCACCUUCCGUCGUCAUCCCCGGUCACACCCACCUACCCGCUUCAAUUCUCCCCGCUCUCCUGUUCAAACGAAAUCAGCUACCCACUCUUCGCCCGCCGCCGCCAAGAAGCAAACAACAGCGCCACAGCUCCGAAACCCAGCAUUGCAACCGUCGAGGGCUCCGGAAUUGCCAUGAUUGCAAUCCCAG
RNAcentral lists this unclassified non-coding RNA (266 nucleotides) under uncultured bacterium. Its description in RNAcentral is "contains 16S-23S intergenic spacer region". The record is from RNAcentral.